This 301-nucleotide ribosomal RNA is filed under the name uncultured bacterium. RNAcentral describes it as "partial 16S ribosomal RNA". It matches the Rfam family "Bacterial small subunit ribosomal RNA", at positions 509 to 809 of the family's 1533-position model. The record is from RNAcentral.
CAGCCGCCGCGGUAAUACCGAGGGUGCGAGCGUUAAUCGGAUUUACUGGGCGUAAAGCGUGCGUAGGCGGCUUUUUAAGUCGGAUGUGAAAUCCCUGAGCUUAACUUAGGAAUUGCAUUCGAUACUGGGAAGCUAGAGUAUGGGAGAGGAUGGUAGAAUUCCAGGUGUAGCGGUGAAAUGCGUAGAGAUCUGGAGGAAUACCGAUGGCGAAGGCAGCCAUCUGGCCUAAUACUGACGCUGAGGUACGAAAGCAUGGGGAGCAAACAGGAUUAGAUACCCCUGUAGUCCCUGUCUCUUAUAA